AAAGCAGCAUGAUUAUAUCAUGUAAAGUAGUGAACAUUCCUUUUUUGAAACAAAUAGCUGGAUGGCUGUUUCCAGUUUUAUCUAACUUAAAUAUCUAAAGAAAUACGGAAUAAUCAGAGGAACAAAAACUUUAUAUUUUUUUUGAACUAAAAGAGAAUAUAAAAUGCUAAAAAGACUUUAAAUAAUUCUUCAUAAGGACCAAACAAAAGAUAGAUUGACUGUGACAGUAAGACCUUUUAACGAUCGAAACCGUGACGAAUUAAUUCAUCGUAUAAAAUGGGAUUUAAAUUUUUAGAAAAAUAAAAAAUGUGGGAUUAACGGGCAAACUUAGAGUAAUCUUUUGCAAGGACUUCGAGUGCUUGCAUAGCUGCCCUAGAGCCCGCGUCUUUUUGAUUUGCACCCCACGCACGGGCUACUUCUUUGCCAUUAAAUAUGCAGGCAAUAACAUAACCCUCAGCGGAACCACCAGCACCAUCGACCCAGCGAUAUUCGAUGUGGCCCAAAGUGCUGUACUUGUGAAAAAGUUUUGAUUUAGCCAGCUUAUCGAUAGGACGUUGAACAGUGAUAUUGGCAAUCUUUGGUUGGAGAAGUCGGCUAACCCAUUGAAAAGCUGUCUCUUCUUGUCCAUCCAAUAUCAAUGCACCGAGAUAUGCUUCGAAAGUGUCAGCAAUGACCUUUUGAGAUUUUCGAAGUUGGUCUUUUUCGGCAGAAUAACUGAGGACAAGUGUUUUAUCAAACCCAUAGAGCCUUGCAAAUUUAUCAGCACUUUCGUUGCCAACAAAUUUUGCCCGGAGUUUGGAAAGACUUCCUUCAUCCAUUUGAGGGAACUUGCUGAAUAUAAUACGCGUAGUAAACAAAUUAAAAAAGCUGUCACCAAGAAAUUCUAGCCUUUCAUUAU
Molecule: non-coding RNA, 898 nt
Organism: Schizosaccharomyces pombe (fission yeast)
Lineage: Eukaryota; Fungi; Ascomycota; Schizosaccharomycetes; Schizosaccharomycetales; Schizosaccharomycetaceae
Source: the annotation of a GenBank genome assembly